AUUGAACGCUGGCGGCAUGCCUUACACAUGCAAGUCGAACGGCAGCACGGGGGCAACCCUGGUGGCGAGUGGCGAACGGGUGAGUACUGCAUCGGAACGUACCCAGUAGUGGGGAUAACCAGUCGAAAGAUUGGCUAAUACCGCAUAUUCACUGAGGUGGAAAGCGGGGAUCGCAAGACCUCGCGCUAUUGGAGCGGCCGAUGUCCGAUUAGGUAGUUGGUGGGGUAAAAGCCUACCAAGCCGACGAUCGGUAACUGGUCUGAGAGGACGACCAGUCACACUGGGACUGAGACACGGCCCAGACUCCUACGGGAGGCAGCAAU
RNAcentral lists this ribosomal RNA (323 nucleotides) under uncultured bacterium. Its description in RNAcentral is "bacterial SSU rRNA". It matches the Rfam family "Bacterial small subunit ribosomal RNA", at positions 30 to 355 of the family's 1533-position model. The record is from RNAcentral.